This 510-nucleotide ribosomal RNA is filed under the name Salmonella enterica subsp. enterica serovar Montevideo. RNAcentral describes it as "bacterial SSU rRNA". It matches the Rfam family "Bacterial small subunit ribosomal RNA", at positions 1035 to 1533 of the family's 1533-position model. Lineage: Bacteria; Pseudomonadati; Pseudomonadota; Gammaproteobacteria; Enterobacterales; Enterobacteriaceae. The record is from RNAcentral.
CAGGUGCUGCAUGGCUGUCGUCAGCUCGUGUUGUGAAAUGUUGGGUUAAGUCCCGCAACGAGCGCAACCCUUAUCCUUUGUUGCCAGCGGUCCGGCCGGGAACUCAAAGGAGACUGCCAGUGAUAAACUGGAGGAAGGUGGGGAUGACGUCAAGUCAUCAUGGCCCUUACGACCAGGGCUACACACGUGCUACAAUGGCGCAUACAAAGAGAAGCGACCUCGCGAGAGCAAGCGGACCUCAUAAAGUGCGUCGUAGUCCGGAUUGGAGUCUGCAACUCGACUCCAUGAAGUCGGAAUCGCUAGUAAUCGUGGAUCAGAAUGCCACGGUGAAUACGUUCCCGGGCCUUGUACACACCGCCCGUCACACCAUGGGAGUGGGUUGCAAAAGAAGUAGGUAGCUUAACCUUCGGGAGGGCGCUUACCACUUUGUGAUUCAUGACUGGGGUGAAGUCGUAACAAGGUAACCGUAGGGGAACCUGCGGUUGGAUCACCUCCUUACCUGAAAGAAGC